This 460-nucleotide ribosomal RNA is filed under the name uncultured bacterium. RNAcentral describes it as "partial 16S ribosomal RNA". It matches the Rfam family "Bacterial small subunit ribosomal RNA", at positions 338 to 795 of the family's 1533-position model. The record is from RNAcentral.
UCUACGGGAGGCAGCAGUGAGGAAUAUUGGUCAAUGGCCGGAAGGCUGAACCAGCCAAGCCGCGUGAAGGACGAAGGUGCCAAGCAUUGUAAACUUCUUUUGUCAAGGGACAAAAUCAGGCUCGAGAGCCUGACCGAGGGUACUUGAAGAAAAAGCAUCGGCUAACUCCGUGCCAGCAGCCGCGGUAAUACGGAGGAUGCGAGCGUUAUCCGGAUUUACUGGGUGUAAAGGGCGUGCAGCCGGGAAGACAAGUCAGAUGUGAAAUCCCGCGGCUCAACCGCGGAACUGCAUUUGAAACUGUUGUUCUUGAGUACCGGAGAGGUCAUCGGAAUUCCUUGUGUAGCGGUGAAAUGCGUAGAUAUAAGGAAGAACACCAGUGGCGAAGGCGGAUGACUGGACGGCAACUGACGGUGAGGCGCGAAAGCGUGGGGAGCAAACAGGAUUAGAUACCCUUGUAGUC